AGUUCAAUUGUUGGGAAGAAGGCUUCAGGGCGCCCAAGAAAGUCCAGCAAGCGCCAGGACCGUCUCCUAAAGUUGAUUCAGCUGCUGUAUGACAGAAAAUGAAACUUAAAAGCAGACCCUCAUUCGUUUGCAUAUUGCCCAAACGACACACCAUUGUCAUAACUUCCUUGAGAACUGUUCUAAAGUAAUCUGUUGAAUCACUCUUACCUUAUCUGUACCCUGAGAUCAACAACACCUAGACAACAUUAGCAGCAUUUACACAACCAUGUGGGCAGAAGAUGACUUCACUCUUCCCUCUGGGUCAGUGCGACUGGGCCUAUCUGAACCACAAGAUGACAAUACCUACGUCAUGUACCACGGCACCACUAGGCUGGCCGCAAAUGAAAUCCUGAACACUGGUUUUCGUCAGUCUCAUGGUGGUAUGUUGGGGCGUGGAGUGUACCUGAGCCGAGACCUGAUGAAGGCAAGCAGGUACCCCCUGGAUCUUCCUGAACAUCGGAGGGUUGUCAUCCGAGUCAAUGUCAAUGUGGGCAAGGUGAAAAGAAUUGACUAUCAGUAUCAUCCUCUGCAGACAACCUGGCAUGAGAACGGUUACGACACCGCCUGGGUCCCUCCUAACUGUGGUAUGGUGAAGAGUGGUCUAGAAGAGGACUGUGUCUGGAAUCCAAAACGCAUCACUGUCUUAGGUACCAUCCAGCCUAAUAUGCAACAGCCCCAGUGUCAUUCACGCUGGUGAUGAAGGGAUGGAUAAUGUGUAACAAUAUGAAAAGAAAAUACAUUGAAUGUAUUUCAACAGUAUGUCAUUUAGUCUCAUUGACUAAAACAACAGUUGAUUUUGACCAAUAAAUUGUUACAACAAUAAACCGUCA
Salmo salar (Atlantic salmon) is the source of this 869-nucleotide non-coding RNA. The record is from RefSeq and is a predicted model, not a curated record. Lineage: Eukaryota; Metazoa; Chordata; Actinopteri; Salmoniformes; Salmonidae.